RNAcentral lists this ribosomal RNA (602 nucleotides) under Mucor fragilis. RNAcentral describes it as "eukaryotic LSU rRNA". The stretch from base 243 to 395 matches the Rfam family "5.8S ribosomal RNA". The record is from RNAcentral. Lineage: Eukaryota; Fungi; Mucoromycota; Mucoromycetes; Mucorales; Mucoraceae.
CCUUCCGUAGGUGAACCUGCGGAAGGAUCAUUAAAUAAUCAAUAAUUUUGGCUUGUCCAUCAUUAUCUAUUUACUGUGAACUGUAUUAUUACUUGACGCUUGAGGGAUGUUCCAAUGCUAUAAGGAUAGGCACUGGAAAUGUUAACCGAGUCAUAAUCAAGCUUAGGCUUGGUAUCCUAUUAUUAUUUACCAAAAGAAUUCAGAAUUAAUAUUGUAACAUAGACGUAAAAAAUCUAUAAAACAACUUUUAACAACGGAUCUCUUGGUUCUCGCAUCGAUGAAGAACGUAGCAAAGUGCGAUAACUAGUGUGAAUUGCAUAUUCAGUGAAUCAUCGAGUCUUUGAACGCAACUUGCGCUCAUUGGUAUUCCAAUGAGCACGCCUGUUUCAGUAUCAAAACAAACCCUCUAUCCAACUUUUGUUGAAUAGGAUGACUGAGAGUCUCUUGAUCUAUUCUGAUCUUGAACCUCUUGAAAUAUACAAAGGCCUGAUCUUGUUUGAAUGCCUGAACUUUUUUUUAAUAUAAAGAGAAGCUCUUGCGAUAAAACUGUGCUGGGGCCUCCCAAAUAACACAUCUUAAAUUGAUCGAAAUCAGUGGUCCCA